AAACUUUCAACAACGGAUCUCUUGGUUCUGGCAACGAUGAAGAACGCAGCGAAAUGCGAUAAGUAAUGUGAAUUGCAGAAUUCCGCGAAUCAUCGAAUCUUUGAACGCACAUUGCGCCCACCAUCACCGGUGGGCAUGCCUGUUCGAGCGUCAUUU
This 156-nucleotide ribosomal RNA is filed under the name Calyptosphaeria subdenudata. RNAcentral describes it as "5.8S ribosomal RNA". It matches the Rfam family "5.8S ribosomal RNA". Rfam says of the family: 5.8S ribosomal RNA (5.8S rRNA) is a component of the large subunit of the eukaryotic ribosome. The record is from RNAcentral. Lineage: Eukaryota; Fungi; Ascomycota; Sordariomycetes; Xenospadicoidales; Xenospadicoidaceae.